UCCGUUAGUCGCCGUUAGUCGAAUCGGACGAGGAUUUCUAUUCAGAAUCGGGUGACAAAUAGUUUCACGCGGGGUUGAAAUUUCGUGGAAAUAAUGUGGAACGUAUUUCCACGUAUCGUGUUGUGCAGUGUCGUGUUUGAACGGGAAUGCUAACGUGCAAAAUGCCGUUGCACACAUUUCAUACGAUUUCGUGCAGAAAAUCUUUACGAAAGUUCACCGAGCAAGGAUAUUAACUGCAAACAAUAGGAGCGUUUUACCAGAUCCCGAGAUUACGUUCGACUGUAUUUGUAUUAUUAACGUUUCCAUCUGCGCUCGCAAUCAGUUGCGUGUUAUUCUUCGUCGCGUUCGGUCGAAGUGCCUCGAGUGUGACCGAUGUUGCUGCCGAUCGUGCCACGCAUCAUUGAAGCUUCGACAGUCUUCGAACGAGAAUUUGCCGUUCGAAUUAAUCUCUCGGCAAGCAGAGCCUCGAUGACGGUGGGAAUCAGUAACACACCGAGAGACUGAUUGGAUAACGCUCCUUCGAGAAUGCUCGAUUUGAAUUAACAAAGCGAUGAAGCUACUUAGCAGCAGGGUGUGCUACAUCGGAUCUCGCAUUGUGACAUAAUCUUAUUUUAUCAUCUGCGGCAUUGGAUAGAAACAUCAUCUAUUUUUUUGUCUCAUUACAUCGAAGAUUCAGCUCGAAUAUUGAGAGGCCAGAGUUUGAUACUUGUCUCACAAAUG
Long non-coding RNA from Eufriesea mexicana, 720 nucleotides. RefSeq lists it as uncharacterized. NCBI's taxonomy places the organism in Eukaryota, Metazoa, Arthropoda, Insecta, Hymenoptera, Apidae. The record is from RefSeq and is a predicted model, not a curated record. The transcript has 5 exons.